UACGUAGGGGGCAAGCGUUGUUCGGAAUUACUGGGCGUAAAGGGCGCGUAGGCGGCACAGCAAGUCGGGAGUGAAAGCCCGGGGCUCAACCCCGGAAUGGCUUUCGAAACUGCUGAGCUAGAGUACAGAAGGGGCAACCGGAAUUCCCAGUGUAGCGGUGAAAUGCGUAGAUAUUGGGAAGAACACCUGAGGCGAAGGCGGGUUGCUGGGCUGAUACUGACGCUGAGGCGCGAAAGCCAGGGGAGCAAACAGG
RNAcentral lists this ribosomal RNA (253 nucleotides) under uncultured bacterium. RNAcentral's name for it is "partial 16S ribosomal RNA". It matches the Rfam family "Bacterial small subunit ribosomal RNA", at positions 524 to 776 of the family's 1533-position model. The record is from RNAcentral.